GUAACAUGACCAAUUCAUCGAUUGAACCUCCAAUUAAAGUUCAGCCUGGAUCAAAUGGGAUGCUUCUUCAAGAUCAACCGCAUGUUUCUGCACAUCCAUCUGCAUCCAAGAACAUGCUGCCGCCACCACCACCACCACCCAGGAACAUGCUACCCCCACCUCCCAAGAGCAUGCCUCCGCCACCACCUAAGUUUCCUUCAAAUGAGAUGUCAAGAAAUGAGGAUAGGUGUGCAGAUUUAAACAAGCCAAUGGCACCUCCGAAGAGCAUGCCACCCCCACCUCCCAAGAGCAUGCCUCCGCCACCGCCUAAGUUUCCUUCAAAUGAGAUGUCAAGAAAUGAGGAUAGGCGUUCAGAUUUAAACAAGCCAAUGGCACCUCCGAGAUCCUUGGACGUGAGUUCAGUCUCACCACCAAAUUUGUAUUCAGCACAAUUACCUUCAAAGGAGCCUAGAGUGGUCAAACCUGGUGGGGCAUCUGUUUCUGGUAAUGGUGGAACACUAUAAUAUCGUUGUUUUCUACAUAGUGACAGAACCAAUCCAUCUUUACUGAACUUCUUUGGCAUUCAUUUGCAGAUACUCUGCUGAAGCUUAUGGAUUAUGGAGAUGACGAUGAAGAGGACAACAUCGAUGAGACGAAUAGCGUGCUUGGAGGGAACCCAACUUCCAUUUCUGGGCAGAAACCGUUUUGGGCUGUGUGAAAAAUUAGUUUGUUCUGUACUCCAAUGCAAGUUGAGUGCAGGUAGAGAAUGUUGCCUGACCUGAUGCAUCAGCUCAAUGCCAUUACGCUAACAGUUCAUCGCUCAAUGUUCUCAGUGUGAGCUAUGUACAAUAUCCAGUUCCUUUUCUUUUGGGGUGGUUCAAAUGUCGACGUGAUGGUCAUUUUUCUUUUGACAUAUAAUCCUGUAGAAGCUAGUGUGAUCAGGCAGGGCAAGGGCACUUGUCUGCACGACAUUCAGAGUGCUGAUGAUGCUUAAGCCAAUUUUUGCUAGCUUCUCUUGGAUGCUGUAUGUUGCUGGUUUUGUUAGUUUGGUGACCUUGACUUGUAAGAUCAAUGCAACAAAACCAUGUGUUGAUACAUAAAUAAGAUCCCAUUUUGACUUCGCAAUUAUGUGCAUUAAUUAAUCUCUUGCAGCCUGCAAGUGUUGCAUCUGAAGUCCCUAGUCAUAACCACCAGAAUUGCCACAAGGAUAUUCCACGGUUAAACCAAAGCAUCUGCGGAUCCAGCUCCGAACACAACGAUUAGUCGAUUAGAUUACACAUGCCCAACACGUCCCAUCACUAAUCUGAUAAAUCUUGCAGAGAUUAACGCCAUUUUCUCCUGCGUUCUCUUUCUUUCUUCGAGCCACUUGUGUUUUGGCUUAGACGCCACUCUUUCCUCCGUGCCAGCUCUGCGUUAAUCAUCUUCCUCCUCGCUGUACCAAUCUCUUGCUGCGUUUGGGGGGAGCAAAGCGAGCGAGAGGCCGUGAUGGCGGCGGCGGCGGCGGCGGUGCUGCACGCGCUGGUGGCGCUCAGCCUCGCCGGCGCGGUCGCGGCGGCAGGAAGAGGCGGGGAGCAGCCGCUGUCGAGGAUCGGCAUCCACCGGACCACCUUCGCGAUCCAGCCGGGUGCCUCCGUCGACGCCUCGCCGCUCCUCCUCGGCCUCGAGGUACUACAGCUUUCUCAGCAACCUACUGUAUCUACUAGCUCGUCAAUUCAGCACUCGCUGCUGUUUUUUGCUCUUGUACGGACCUAUAUAGUUCGAUGUAGUCAGCCAUUACCACUUACCAGAGCUCGAGAGUUCUGAUCCCAGUUAAUAGUGCCUUAAUUUAGUCGGUCGAGGCAUAUAUUUGCAUUUUGCAGCAUUAGGAUUUAUAGGAGAAUCAAUCAUGAUUUUUUUUUUGAACUUCCAUAGACCCACUGUAUUCAAAUUAUUGGCUACCUUAUCUGUUGCAGGGACAGGACAGAGAAUGGGUGACUCUUACCUAUAACAACCCCAAGCCAUCGAAGGAUGAUUGGAUUGGGGUGUUCUCUCCUGCUAAUUUCAGGUACUUGCAAUCCAAUCAUCCUGAUGCUGGAUGCCUGAAUUGAAUGCUUAAUUAAGACAGCAAGAAAGAAGUUGAGAUCUUAUUUAUAUUUUGCCUUUUUGGCAAUUUACCAGUGAUUCUACUUGUCCAUCAGAGAGCCAAUGGGUUGAACCACCACUUCUAUGUACAGCUCCCAUAAAGGUUAGUGUUACAUCCAGUUAGCCUUAUUCCAUGUGAACUGUAGAUGAGACUUCAGAAAACUUGCCAAUAACAUAUGCUGAAGGAGGCACAAUUUUUUGGCAGUUUAUAUUUGCAAACUACAAGAAUCUUGACUAUGAGAAGACAGGAAAGGGAUCCAUGAAGCUUCAGCUAAUCAAUCAGAGGGAGGAUUUUUCAUUUGCAUUGUUUUCUGGAGGCCUCUCAAAUGUAUGUGCCAAAUUCUCCUCAUUUAUUUAGUGUGAAAACUUAUUGUUGAACGAUUCAGUUACCAUGGUGGUAUUUCUUGUAUAUUUUGUCUUUUCUAGUUAAAAUACAAUGUGACUGAACUAUUAUAUGGUCUAACUUGCCUAUGCCAUGUCUUAUAUAACCUCACAGCCAAAGCUCAUUGCACACUCAAAGAGAGUAACCUUCACGAACCCAAAGGCCCCUGUGUACCCACGCCUAGCGCAAGGAAAAUCCUGGAAUGAAGUAAGUAUCAUCUUGUUAAGUAUUCCAUAAGUAAUGAAGUGAGUCUCAAUUGAGCAUCCUAGCCUGUGAUCUGCAAAGGAAAAUAUCAUUGCGGACAGAAAUAAAAUUUCGUUUAUGGUCCUUUAGCACUUUUCAAUGCAAGUAACCUAUUUUUUUAAUGGAAUAUGUUUAUGAGCUCGAAUGUCAAAGCAACAAAAACAGGAAUGUAAGACAUCUCAGAUUGUUCCAUUUAAGUGAUAUUUUUUUCUUCCGAAAUAGUGUUUGCUUGUCUGCGUUGCUUAUGAAACAAAUGGGCACCAAAGUGCUUCUGCAAAUCAGAUCAUACCAUGUUUACAGAAUAAUGACUGAUGUUAAGUGAUUCUAGAUGACAGUGACUUGGACAAGUGGAUAUGGCACCAAUGAGGCUACACCAUUUGUCAAAUGGGGCCUACAAGGGCAAAUCCAAAGCCUUUCUCCUGCAGGCACCCUUACGUUCAGUCGCAGCACUAUGUGCGGUGAGUAAAUUUUCAUUAUGUUUUUACUUGCUCAGAGUAAUAAUCCCCCAUUAGUGCUGACAAGUGACAACUAAAAAAGAAACACAUCUUAGAAUAAUGGUAUAAUGGCAGAGCAGUUGUAGAUCAAAUAACCAUUGACAUGUAACUUUUGACGAACCUAAUAAGAUGAUAACAUUGUCAUGCUUUAUGAUGAUUUUACCACAGGUCCUCCUGCUAGGACAGUUGGAUGGCGCGAUCCUGGUUUCAUACAUACAAGUUUCCUCAAGGAUCUGUGGCCUAAUUUCAAGUAAAUGAGUGUUACACAACCUUGCUUUGUCUGCAUCUGUGCCCUCUGUGGUCCUGUAACUAUUCAUUUGUACAAAUGCAAGUGCCAACAAGUCUUACAAGUGAGUUUGUAUUUCAGGUAUACAUACAGAAUUGGGCAUCGGCUAUCAGAUGGCUCUAUUAUUUGGGGACAUGAGUAUAGCUUCCAAGCACCUCCUUAUCCAGGGGAAGACUCUUUGCAGCGUGUAGUCAUUUUUGGAGAUAUGGGGAAGGUGUGAAUAUGAUACCACUUACAAUGUGCCUGUUUUUCCACGUUUAUCUCCCAAAAGUGCAAUAAAUUAUUAGGUAACUGAUCACUGAAUCGAUAUGGAACUCCAUAGCUAUUCAAAGUUAAUAUGGGAGAUGUAGUACAACUUGUGCUUUAAAUAAAAUCUCUCAAUUAUAUAAAAAAGAUUAGAUAGGGAACAAUUAGCAGAAGGCCACCAAAGUGUGUCUUUAUCUUUAGUUAGUAGUAGUAAAUUGGUAAUGACAAUUAUGCAAGUUAGAAAAGGUUGUACUCUUUAUGAGUUCUAUCAUCUCGAGUCAAACUAACAAAGAAUAAGAUACUUAAGUACCUGCUACUCAUGCUAAAACAAGAGAGAUUAUUUGCUACAAAUUCGCUUUUCUCCUCUGGCCUUAAUUGGCAUUUGAACUCCUUGCACAGGCUGAGGCCGAUGGUUCAAAUGAGUUCAAUGACUUCGAGCCUGGUUCACUGAACACGACCUACCAGCUAAUUAAAGAUUUGAAGAAUAUUGAUAUGGUAAUACAUAUUGGGGACAUCUGCUAUGCCAAUGGUUAUCUGUCACAAUGGGAUCAAUUUACCGCACAAGUUGAACCCAUUGCAUCCAGUGUGCCUUACAUGGUUGGAAGGUACUCCGACUUGACGACAGAAACAAACCAAAGACAAGGUGGAAAUUUCAAACAAUGUUUCUGAUGAUAUUGUUUUGUGCUUGCAGCGGCAACCAUGAAAGAGAUUGGCCUGGAUCAGGUUCCUUCUAUGGGAAUUUGGAUUCAGGUGGUGAAUGCGGUGUACCAGCUCAGAAUAUGUUCUACGUGCCAGCAGAGAACCGUGAGCAAUUCUGGUAGGACAUUUUUUCCCCUGAAUUUUGUGAAAUACUAUACGAAACCUGGAUAUUUUAAGGCGUACCACUCAUACAUGUGACCACUUAUCGAGACAUUCUGGUUCACUAGACGAUCAUGCGUAAACAUGCUUUUCUUAUAUACACAGAUCAACAUUAACAAAUAACAAGCUAUCAUGUUUUUUUAGGCUGUACUAAUAGCUAAAAUUCAUUGAUCUCUCUUACUGAACACAACCAACUCUGCAUAAUCUCAUCUUUCUUAGUACGGUCCAUCAAAAUUCUGAACAAAAAGCUACUACAAAAGAUUAUGGCCCCAAUAACCUGCAGUCCUGCACCUGUUAAACCCUGAGAUCAUCCUUGCAGGUACUCGAUAGACUACGGCAUGUUCCGUUUCUGCAUAGCCAACACCGAGCUCGACUGGAGGCCAGGCACCGAGCAGUACAAGUUCAUCGAGCACUGCUUCUCCUCCGUCGACCGGCAGAAACAGCCGUGGCUCAUCUUCCUCGCCCACCGUGUUCUCGGCUACUCAUCAGCUAGCUUCUACGUCGAGGAGGGCACAACCGAGGAGCCCAUGGGCAGGGAGAGCCUCCAGCCGCUCUGGCAGAAGUACAAGGUCGACAUCGCCAUGUACGGCCAUGUCCAUGGCUACGAGAGAACCUGCCCAGUCUACGAGGUAUAUGAGCACUGUUACUCUUCCGUUCCCAUACAGUUACUAUUCUAGGUUGUUUAGUGUAGAUUAUGAUUUAAAGAGAAGAUUAUAGUGCCCGUCAUUGAAUGGUGUAUGUUUAGGUGUGAGAGAGUAGUUGGAGAUUGGAGAUAGAAUAAAGAGAAAUUUGAAUUGAAUGGUGUAUGGUUAGGUAGUUGAGGGAGGGGCGGAUCCAACGUGGGUGCAGGGGGAACUCUAUACCCAUGGAUACCUCCCGGAGCACUCCUUCGAUUUUUUCACCAUAAAUGAUAAACUAAAGGUCCUUAAAUGGCUAGAGGUUAAAGAAACUGCAUAAUUGAGCCCCCCCUAAUUUUUUUUGUUCCUGGAUCCGCCCUUGUUGAGGGUAUAAUAACGAGAUAUUUGAAUGGAAGGUAAUUGAUAGGGUACUCCCUCCGUCCCAGAAUAUAAGAAAGUAGGUAAAAUUAAAUAGAAAGAUAUUGUGAUUGGUUCAGAAAGAGGUAGGUGGGAAAAGUAGAUAGUGGAUAGUUGUGAUUGGUUAGGAAGAGAAUUAUAGUUAAGAAAUUAUUAUAUUUUGGAGCAAAUUCUGAGUGCUAAAAGUUGUUAUAUUUGGGACGGAGGGAGUAAUAUGAAGUGAUAACUAUUUUGAAAUAAAAUUGAAUCCUACUAUUUUGAGAUAAAAUUUGAAUCACACAGGGACAACUAUUUUAGAAGUAUAGAACGUGAGAACAGCUAAAGUGUAAAGUAUGUGUAUUUCUUGUGAAUUUAUGGCUGUGGCUCUCAUUUUCUGCUUGUGUUUUACUGUGUGUGAAAUGUGUGCAUUCAGAAUGUGUGCGUGGCGAAGGCGGCGAGCCACUACAGCGGCGCGUUCACGGCGACGACGCACGUGGUGGUGGGCGGCGGCGGGGCGAGCCUGGCGGACUACGCCGGCGUACGGGCGCGGUGGAGCCACGUCCAGGACCGGGACUACGGGUUCGCCAAGCUGACGGCCUUCAACCACACGGCGCUGCUGUUCGAGUACGUCCGGAGCCGCGACGGCAGCGUGCACGACAGCUUCACCGUCUCCCGCGACUACCGCGACAUCCUCGCCUGCGGCGUCGACAACUGCCCCACCACCACCCUGGCCUCGUGAGGAUCUCGCCGAAGCUCAGGUUGCUUACUGCUGCUGUGCCGUAAGCCAAUUUGUACAUUGUGACAUUGAGAAUUUGGGAUGCUUGGCUUAUCAAUCCAAUUUGAUCUGAGACUGAAAUAACGGCCGUGAAACGCAACUACGACGCCGGCCGGAGGCAGGCUACGGCGAGCGGCGGCGGACCGGCGGUAGGGGGGAUUCCGCCGUAGUGUCGUUCCUUCACGCUGAAUAGUGGGCCCCCAUGGAAAGCACGCUUAUGGGCCUCAAAACCCAACCUGGCCGAGGAGGCAGCUCCCCCAUCUCACUAAUUGGGCCGUAUUAGUCUCGGCCCACUACCUCGUUCAGGCGAACGUGAUGAUAAAGCGGCCCGGCCCAUCUCUCUGGCUCGCACUCCGCCUCCGCCACCGGCGCGAAAACCCUCCAAAAUUUCUCCCGCCACAGCUCAAAAACCGAGCCAAAAAAAGAAAAACCAGACGCGGCCGUUCGCGCGCGGGGAAGAAGAGGAGAACGCGAAACCCCGCGGCAAAAAUCCCACCGAAACGCCAUCUCCUCCCCCUUCCCGCCCGCGCGCUCGCCUCGCCUCGCCAAACCACGGCGUUAUAAAGGCGCGCGGAUCCAAUCCUCUCCCACUCCCAUUCUCCUCAACUCCAAACCAUUUCCUCCCCAUCGCCGCCGCCGCCGCAGCUGAAUCUUCCCGCGUGAAGCCUUCAACUCGGCUCGGGGAUGGAUUCCGACGCGGCACCGUCAGUGACGCCGGGGGCGGUGGCGUUCGUCCUGGAGAACGCGUCGCCGGACGCGGCCACCGGCGUGCCGGUGCCGGAGAUCGUCCUCCAGGUCGUCGACCUCAAGCCCAUCGGCACCCGCUUCACGUGAGUGUUUCUUGUGUGCGAUUCCUCUUUGAUGAGCGUUCUUGCGAUUCCGCGCCACGGAAAAACUCGCCCAGAUCUGGGUGGGUUCUUGUUCUUCCUCAGCGACGAGUUCCUCACGAUCUCUCUGUUGCGUUGCAGUUUCUUGGCGAGCGAUGGCAAGGACAAGAUAAAGACGAUGCUUCUCACCCAGCUCGCUCCGGAGGUGCGCUCCGGCAACAUCCAGAAUCUCGGCGUCAUCCGCGUCCUCGACUACACCUGCAACACCAUCGGCGAAAAGCAGGAAAAGUACAGAUCCGCGCGCUCCACCUGUCUGAUUCUUCAGACCACUCGCGUUUCUUUGUCUUCUGAAAUCUGAAUCUCUGGUUUUGUUCAUAUGCGUCACAGGGUCUUGAUUAUCACGAAGCUCGAGGUCGUGUUCAAGGCGCUGGAUUCCGAGAUCAAGUGCGAGGCCGAAAAGCAAGAGGAGAAGCCGGCGAUUCUGUUGAGUCCCAAGGAGGAAUCCGUGGUUCUCUCCAAGCCCACGAACGCGCCGCCACUUCCUCCGGUUGUGCUGAAGCCCAAGCAGGAGGUGAAGUCCGCGUCCCAGAUCGUGAACGAGCAGCGCGGCAAGUAAGCGAUUCUUGCGAGAUCCCCAUCUCUCUUGUUCAGUUGUUUCUGAUGCAGAAUUGUUGGUGAGACUAACCUGCCGAUUCUUGAUGCCUUCCUGUUUGCAGUGCUGCUCCUGCGGCGCGGUUGGCCAUGACGAGAAGAGUUCAUCCUUUGAUCUCCCUGAACCCCUACCAGGGCAACUGGAUCAUCAAGGUGCGUGUCACAAGCAAGGGCAACCUGAGGACGUACAAGAAUGCUCGUGGUGAAGGCUGCGUCUUCAAUGUGGAGCUCACUGAUGUGGAUGUAAGUGCAACCUACCGUGAAAUGUUUAUUCCGUAGGAUGUAAUUGCAGUUCAUGAGCAAUUCUGAAUUCUUGUAUGUUGAUUGAUGAGUUAAUUUUGUUGGAUCUGUGUACAGGGCACCCAGAUCCAGGCAACCAUGUUCAACGAGGCUGCCAAGAAGUUCUAUCCGAUGUUUGAGCUGGGGAAGGUGUACUACAUCUCCAAAGGAUCUCUCAGAGUCGCCAACAAGCAGUUCAAGACUGUCCAUAAUGACUACGAGAUGACCCUGAAUGAGAAUGCUGUUGUUGAGGAAGCUGAGGGCGAAACUUUUAUCCCACAGAUUCAGUACAACUUUGUCAAGAUUGAUCAGCUAGGGCCAUAUGUUGGUGGCAGGGAGCUAGUAGGUAAGGCAAUAGUGCUUUCAGUUCAGUGAUGUGUUCUUGUUCCUACUUUGUGAAUGUAGUGUUCUGACUAGUUUUACCCUACUUGCAGAUGUUAUUGGGGUUGUUCAGAGCGUAUCUCCUACUCUUAGUGUUAGGAGGAAGAUUGACAACGAGACGAUUCCAAAGCGUGACAUCGUUGUAGCGGAUGACUCGUAAGCAUCAUUUGGCUUGUUAACUCCUUUCUUUUGAUGAUGUGAAUGCUCUUUAUGUUUUAUGUGCUGAUAACUUACAUUUAAUCUGAUGGCAGGAGCAAAACUGUAACCAUAUCUCUUUGGAAUGAUCUUGCCACAACUACUGGUCAGGAGCUCUUGGACAUGGUAGACUCUGCGCCUAUCAUUGCGAUAAAGAGCCUAAAAGUAUCUGACUUCCAAGGUAUGUUUGUGUUACCUUCCUGCAUGUGGUAGGAUCUGAAUUGGCGAUUAUGUGCUAACAGCAUUACUACUAUAAUGUCGACAGGUUUGUCUCUGUCAACUGUGGGGAGAAGUACAAUUGUAGUGAAUCCUGACUUGCCUGAGGCAGAACAGCUCAGAGCUUGGUAUUGUCCUAAUCUCAAACACUCCUUUUAUUAUCUUUCAAACUAUCUACUUUGGUCCUUGACGUUAUUUUGGCAAACAGGUAUGACUCUGAAGGCAAGGGUACUUCAAUGGCAUCAAUUGGUUCAGAUAUGGGCGCAUCAAGGGUUGGUGGCGCGAGAUCCAUGUACAGUGAUAGAGUUUUUCUGUCUCACAUCACAAGUGACCCCAACUUGGGUCAGGAUAAGGUAAAAUCUUGGAAUCUUUGAAAGAAAAUGGAAUUGUUCUUGAUGUUUAGUUUAUUAGCACUUUCUAGUUGUGAUUGUCCUAAAUUUACUUGUUAUGUUUUGCAGCCUGUGUUCUUCAGUCUGAAUGCCUAUAUUAGCCUUAUCAAGCCUGACCAAACCAUGUGGUACCGAGCUUGCAAGACCUGCAACAAGAAGGUGACUGAGGCAAUUGGAUCAGGAUACUGGUGUGAAGGGUGCCAGAAGAAUGAUGCUGAGUGCUCACUGAGGUAAAACUUUGGGCUGAAUUACACCGUGCAUGCUUGAAUUUGAGAUGAUACAAAGCCAAAGCUAAUGCUACACUGGUUCCUUUCUUCAGGUACAUCAUGGUCAUCAAGGUCUCCGACCCUACUGGUGAGGCCUGGCUUUCUCUGUUCAAUGAUCAGGCAGAGAGGAUUGUUGGCUGCAGUGCAGAUGAGCUUGAUCGGAUUAGGAAGGAGGUAAUUUUGCCAAUCCCACAGUAACUUUGAUUCACCUUCGUGUAAAUUCUAGGCUUUAGUUUAACUUUGUGCGAAUUCCAGGCUGUAGUUCAAGCUUGUGCGAAUUCUAGGCUUCAGUUCAACUUUGUGCAGAUUCUAGGCUUUAGUUUUCUACAUGCCUAAGAUUGCUAUUUAAGCUGUGCCUAAGAUUGUUGGUCUCAAUUGUUUCAGGAGGGUGAUGACAGUUACCUUCUCAAGCUGAAGGAAGCUACUUGGGUUCCUCACCUGUUCCGCGUCAGCGUAACUCAGAAUGAGUACAUGAAUGAGAAGAGGCAGAGGAUCACUGUGAGGAGUGAAGCUCCGGUAGACCACGCAGCUGAAGCCAAGUACAUGCUCGAGGAGAUAGCCAAGCUGACAGGUUGCUAGAUGCAAAAUUAUCGGUGAAGCUUGAAGAGUCCAUGAAAGCUUAGAUGCAGUGUUUCGGUGAAGCUUUUGAAGUGCCUGUCCAUGAAAGCUUUUGAGGUGUAAUAGCUUUAUAAAUUAUGGUUUCUCCACUGCAAUUAGGUGCUAGCUAGUAUUAGCCUUUUGUAUUAUAGGUAGAUGCAUGCUUAACUUGUUUUUGAGGCAACCAGAAUGUGAUGCUGUUAUACAGCCGUUUUAUCUUCAAAUGUGAUGGUUGCCUGGACAGAUUGUGAAAUUGAUAAUUGGAAUCAGUAACUGGUUGAUGUUAAUUUCCUAUAUACAUUGUUCCCAUGUAUGCCAGACUUCCACAGAUGCUUGCACAGUUGCACUUACAGAUUAGUCUCUGUUGUGCACUCCUUUGGGUUGAUCAUACUUUGUAGCAUUUGUCUGCACUAGCCGUAUCUAGUGUUUUACAAUCAUUCUUUGUAGCAUUUGGGUUGAUCAUACUUUCAAUUUUUUUUAAAGAUCUGUCUGAAAUUCAUUGGUUUUUGUCGGUGGUUUCCGUGGUUAUUCGGUAUCAGGAUUUUGACAUCUCCAUGGGUCAUGCUGCUGACUGGCUGGGAAAUUUGCAAGUAGUAGCUUGAACAUACUACGAGUCCAGGAGAUCUUUGUUGCCAGAGUAACUUGCACUAGGAUGAAUUUGUCACAACCUGCAUGAACAAAAGCAGCUGCAGGAACCAUUUAACAAUGAUCAAUGGAGCCAUGUUAACCACUUUUUAUGUCAGCAGGAGCAAAUCUCCCGCUGUCUCCUUAGCAUAAUAAACACUUGUAACAUUAAGACAAGUCUCACAAUCAGAUUCUACUCUGAACUGAAUUCUGAAGCUAAGGUGAAGGGCUGACUGAAGCUAUAGUAACACUUGCAAGAGCAGCAGUGAGCUGACAGAGAGGUUCAGUAUAAGGAUGGCGGGAUAGGGUUGACGACGAUAUGCCGAAGCGGGUUCGCGACAUCUCCACCUCCGGCGUGCUUCACAAACUCAGCAGGGGUCAGGAAGCUGCCAUGGCAAACACAGACAAUCCUCACCUCCUCGCCUUUCCUGUACUUGUACAGGAAGCCUUCAACCCUCUUGCCAUUGGGGAGCCCCUUGGUGCACACGCAUGGCAUCUCCUGCAUCAUGAUCCUCUCCACAUCUCCCAUGCUCUUGGCUCUUGCCGCAACUCUUCCUGUAGCACGCAGCUGCUCUCCCCUGGAAGCAAGAGCUACUGCCCUCACCGCCAGUGCCGAAAAUGGCGGUGUUGCUAUGGCUGCUCCAUUUCGGUGCUCAGUAGCGGCCGAUGGAACGUUGUGCUCUUCGGCAUCAGCAGAUCCUGGAAGGACAGACAAACAGGCCUUAAUGAGAAACAUAAGCAAACCUCAUGAAAGGAAGUAAGGAAGUAAGGAAGGAUGACCAAUUGCUGAUAUUUUCAUCUAAUAACAUAACCUAUUGAUCCUUGUCAUACAUGUUUUGUGUGGACCCUCCAUACUUUCAAGUCUGGAAGUAGUUUCCAUCCUUUGACCGGAGGCAGGGCCAUGCAAUCCAGGCCACUAAAUUAGGCAUUUGUUACAACAUAAUUUAUUUUAGUCGAUCUGCCAUUUAGGAAAAAAAACAUUGCGCACAGCGGCUAACAACAUAACAGUAUCUGGCACCAACCAUCCAUGCCCAGUUCACAUUCAAGACAUUUGACUUGAAACUCGCACAAAUGAGAGCAAUAUAAAUAAAUUGAGCAUCUAAAAGCCCUCAGACAUGAGAGAUCUACAUGAACAUAAUGGAGGGGCAAAAGUUGUGACAAGCAUAAAGAACAAAACAUGAAACUACAAAAUAGUGCAAUAUCAUAUCAAACAAUCAUGCUUGAAGCUAGAUUGACAAGAAAAUAUUUUCACGUAUCUAUAAUGCAAAACGACAAAACAAAUGCAAAACGACAAAACGUAAGCGGUUUACCUUUCAUAGCUGGAAUAUGCUUUGUUGGUAUUCCGGACAGACUGCCACGUUGUUGAGUAUACGUGGCACGGUGGACUGGAGGAAGUCCAGUGCAGCGGUUUCUAUCACUGCUAUGGUUCACAUUUCCUCCCGUCUUCUUAUUGCCUGUAGCAACAUCAUCGCAACUUUCUACUUUCUCAGCUCCUGCAUUCAUCUCCUCUAAUAUCUGCCCAACAGCCUCUUUGGAAAUGUUGGAAGUGAGAGAGUUCCUCCUCUCAAUUCUCUUCCUCUUCACUUCGAGUCGCUUCAGACUCUGAGCCUCCUUUCGCUUCCUCCAUUCAUCCUCGAUGCCGGCAGGGAGUGAACUUGUUCUCAUGAGAGUGUCUGUCAUAUUCACUACGAAAGAGAAAACAUGGUUAGUUAAACUGUUCCGGAAUCUGCCAUAUUCUAAAUUAAACAGAAAACUGUAAGUUUCAGAAUAUGAGAUAAACUGCCCGAAAGAAAUGGGUUAAACUAAAUUUGUUCGGUAACAUUCUUAUCGUACUCCCUUUGCAUGUUUUGUUUUCUUUUGGAAAUAUGUAAUAUCGUAGCUACGCAAUGUACUCCCUCCGAUCAAAUUUAUUUGGCGUUUGGAGUUCGGACCACAAUUGGCCCAACAUCAAUGACAAAAUAGGCCCAGAACAAUAUAUCGGCAUGUCUGGCUAAACGAUAGGUUAGAACGGGAAGAACAAGACACUUCAAAAGCAAUGUGAGCAUAAGGCUUUACUAAUACGAUUCUAGAUUCUAGAAACAUUCCUAGCACUACUUCACUUGGUGUAUAAGCAAGAGUAAGGUCCAAUUCCAUGAAUAGCUGCAUUCCACCAUCUUUUGUUUUUCACAGUUGUCCGUUGAUAGGAGCUGUCUCUACCGACCUUUCGAACUCGUCUGUUUUGAACGCAAGUCCACUAGGUUGUUACAGUCAAGGGGUCUUCAUCUUUUGCGCGACAAUGAAAUUACAUCCAUUGACGCCAACUAUGGACUUUACUAUUGUCGACCAAUCCUUCCUAAUUCACUUUUCUUAGGAAAAAUGGUAUGUUUUCCCUUAAACCAGACCAGUAGUAAAGUAAUAUCUGAAUCCUCCCAGACCGCAGGAGAUAGUUGCCUAUCCUGCAGCUCACCAAUUUCACAUGCAUCUAGGAGCUCAUGCUGGGCAGGUUCAGAUUACUUACUGUCCACAGCCCUAAUGCAAUGUCAGAACCAGAAGUUAGCGACAAGUUGGAAGGGGAGGGCAUGCAACAUGCAAACUCUAGUACCAAAUCGCACUAGAAUUGGAAAAUUUAGGAAUGUCUUCUAAUGUUAUUUUUGUUUCAUCUCAUCAUAUAUGGCAGCAUUAAAAUGUAGUGUGCACAAUGUGCGAGUAAAGCUCCAUUCUUACAUCAUCACACCUAUAUGGUAAUUUGAAAAAUACAACACAACUAACGGGCUAUUAGCUGCCUGUGAGGCUUGGCGUCUAAAGCCUAGUUAGCUACCCAGGUAGCAUCAACCUUGAUUCAACACCUACAUAUGUACAUUGUGCUGUUGCACCUGCUAUUAUUGUUGUUAAAUAUUAGAUAAUGAAACAAAAUGUAAUUAACAUCAACCGUCGCUGAACCCAACUUGAAUUGCUCCAUAAUUAGCCAAUGUUUGCGAGCUCCAUGUACAUUUCCACCAUGAAUUUGCUACCUGUUAUUCGGAGUAACACAAAAACAAAUCUGCUGAUGUCCUUUGUUGCUAAUAUGCUAAUAGAACAUCUUGUAUUAUUUCUGGAAGCUUCAAAAUAAACACCGCAUUAGGUUAGGCUACCACUAACAAAGGGUACCAACAUCCAUCCAAAGACGUAACUCAAUGUCUAUGUAAAGCUCUUGCUUGCUGUCAUUAAUGAGAGGAAUACAUACAUAGAUUGCAUUACAAGGAUCAAAAUCAUUAUUGACUAAGAAGUGAGGUGUGAUUAGUUCACCAUAAAAAAAUUAUGCCUCCCCCAAAAAGCUAGUUUCUAUUUGAGAGUUGAAAUUCAUAUAUUUUACUUUAACUACCAUUUUUAAAAUUUUCAAAUUAUCAAAAAUAUGUUCUUGACGUUAACAAAAUGGUGUUCACACCUCCCUUGGAAAUAAAAUGCUAUGCAACCAAUUAACACUUGAAUCCACACAUAGGACACGUUUCUUUCUGCUGUUGAAGUAGUGCGAUUAUUAAGUAAUAAGAGAAACUAUGUAUUAGAAGAAACUUGGUAACCAGUAACCACUCUGUAUCUAAUUACUAUUUCAGAUCUUAGUUGUAUGAAAGACUUCUUCAAUUUCUACCAUGCAUGCUACCCAGGCUCAAACUAAUUCUGCUAACUGCUGAUGACUGAGUGUUAAGUUUCUUUCAUGUGAGGAAGAGUAUCUAUGAAUUGAGCAAAGGCAAAGCAUAAUUAGUCUUCCUUAAUCUAGAAACAUAAAAGAUGAUUUUUCCUUAAUCUCGAGUGCUUAUCGUCAUUUGUUCAUCACUGUAAACACUGCACCACGUCCACGUGUCCUGCCACUAGUCACUGAACUGUGGUAAUAAUCUUCACGGAUAAAAAAAAAAAGCUUGCUGAAUCUGAUUGCUUAGUUGAAUAAGAUCUAUGAAUUCAGUUCACUACAAAGUUAUCCAUUCUAGCAGUUAUCCAUAUUUACUUAAUUCCCAUCCUCACCCUUUGGGUUAAAAAGAUUGUAGGCGUUCCUAUAAAAGGAGUACUGAAGAAAGUCUACUGCAGGUGAAAUUAGAAAGUUACAGAACAAGGAAGAAUACCCAUUAAGAUUCUUUUUGCGCGUGUCAUGUGACUUAAAGGGCUACUUGACAAGAACAGAUAUCCUGAAACUGACUUGCCAAGCCAGCAGCACGAUCCUAAAAACUAUAUACUGAUAGCAACCACAUUUUUAGAUGAUGGAAGCAACAGUUGUAAACAGAAAUUUUUUUUUUCAAGAGGGGUAAAACAGACGAAUUUCACUGUUGGAUAAUUUAAGCUGUAAAUCGAAAUUACAGUCCUCGGUGUUAACGAGGAAGCACCAGUGAUGGAAGAUCUCAUUAGCUUUGCCAAAGACCAACGCCCAAGCAUCUUAAUCCAAACUUUAUUUACCACCAGGACGUCAGGUAAAUGACAUAUGGCAGGGCAAUUUCACAUUUCCCAAUGUGCAUUUCACCUUGAAUUCACCCAAACAAUUCGUGUCUAAUUUGCAUAAUUAGCAGCAUAUAUUACCAAAGAAUCGCAAUUAACAUCGGUUAGGUAUGAAAUCAUAAAAGCUAAAGAUAGAUAGAUAGCACACGCCCCCAUGGAGAGAAGCGAUGACGCACCUUCAAGCCUGCGCCCUUCGCCGUCCGACGAGCCCGAUGACGGGCUCCCGCUCGCCGGCAGCCUCGCCGCCGCGGGCUCCGCCUCCGCGCCGCCGCUCGGGCGGCGACAGUUCAAUUCAUCCACACCCUGCUUUUUCGCCGCCUCCGCGGCGGCCACGGUCGGCAGCGAGCUCGUCCUGAAGAGCCCGGACGGCGGCGCCGACGGCUCCGUCGGCGCCGCCAAGAUGGCCGCGACCGACGACGACCUGGCGAGCUUCUCCCCUCUCCUGUCCAGCCCGAACCGGCCGCCGAGCGACAGCCCGAGGUUGAGCUCCACCUCCUCAGCCUCCAUGUCCACGCGCGGCCUCACCUCGCCGCGGGGCCCGUCUCCUCCCUUGCCGAUGCCGCACAGCAAGUCCCUCGAGAAGCCCUCCAUUCCGGCAAGCUAGCUAGCCAGCAAUCACAGCAAGCUCUCGCAUCCGAGAAGAAGAAGAAGAAGCGCCUGGCGUGAACCAAGAAACAGGGGAACACCAACGGUGGUGAGCCAAGAACUGACCGAGCGAGUAAUCCGCCAUUGCUGCCGCCCGCCGCGGCGAGAGAGAGAGAGAGAGAGAGAGAGAGAGAGAGAGAGAGAGAGAGGAAGAUGCGACUUACGAGGAUUCCUUGAGGGACUAGGUGGCCGCCAUUGCGGGGAACGCGCGCCCUCGCCUGCGCCUCUCCGCGGCGGAGAUGGGAAGGGAGGAGGAGGAGAAGAGAGAGAGGAAGGAAAAAAAAAAUCCUCCUUUUCGGGGUCGGCUCGCUUUCGCUUUUGGGGCGUGGGGUUUCGUCGGAACGGCAAACACCCCCGGACGCGGCGCGCGACACGUGUCGACCCAUCGACGACGCGUGGCGCGGCUCGCGCGCCACCUCGCGAGGAGCCGAGAGCCGAAGCCGACCAGGCCGCGGCGGGACAAACACCGCAGCUCGGGCUCACGGCUCAAGCCGACCAUCGCCGUAGCCGACACGUGCCUUGAAAAUUGAAAUAGAGGGGAGCCGAGCCGAGCCGAGAUCAGAAAAAAGACCACCACCUCCCA
RNAcentral lists this long non-coding RNA (16490 nucleotides) under Oryza sativa (Asian cultivated rice). RNAcentral's name for it is "long non-coding RNA (OSAT_LNC000513)". The record is from RNAcentral. Lineage: Eukaryota; Viridiplantae; Streptophyta; Magnoliopsida; Poales; Poaceae.